AGCAGGGUGGCUCAGUGGAAAGAGCAUGGGUUUAGGAGUUUGUGGGUUCUAAUCCCGGCUCUGCUA
This 66-nucleotide transfer RNA is filed under the name Ornithorhynchus anatinus (platypus). It matches the Rfam family "tRNA". From Rfam's summary of the family: Transfer RNA (tRNA) molecules are approximately 80 nucleotides in length. Their secondary structure includes four short double-helical elements and three loops (D, anti-codon, and T loops). The record is from Rfam by way of RNAcentral. Lineage: Eukaryota; Metazoa; Chordata; Mammalia; Monotremata; Ornithorhynchidae.